RNAcentral lists this ribosomal RNA (490 nucleotides) under uncultured bacterium. RNAcentral's name for it is "partial 16S ribosomal RNA". It matches the Rfam family "Bacterial small subunit ribosomal RNA", at positions 30 to 507 of the family's 1533-position model. The record is from RNAcentral.
AUUGAACGCUGGCGGCAGGCCUAACACAUGCAAGUCGAACGGUAACAGAAAGCAGCUUGCUGCUUUGCUGACGAGUGGCGGACGGGUGAGUAAUGUCUGGGAAACUGCCUGAUGGAGGGGGAUAACUACUGGAAACGGUAGCUAAUACCGCAUAACGUCGCAAGACCAAAGAGGGGGACCCUCGGGCCUCUUGCCAUCGGAUGUGCCCAGAUGGGAUUAGCUUGUUGGUGGGGUAACGGCUCACCAAGGCGACGAUCCCUAGCUGGUCUGAGAGGAUGACCAGCCACACUGGAACUGAGACACGGUCCAGACUCCUACGGGAGGCAGCAGUGGGGAAUAUUGCACAAUGGGCGCAAGCCUGAUGCAGCCAUGCCGCGUGUAUGAAGAAGGCCUUCGGGUUGUAAAGUACUUUCAGCGGGGAGGAAGGGAGUAAAGUUAAUACCUUGGCUCAUUGACGUUACCCGCAGAAGAAGCACCGGCUAACUCCGUG